RNAcentral lists this ribosomal RNA (497 nucleotides) under uncultured bacterium. RNAcentral's name for it is "partial 16S ribosomal RNA". It matches the Rfam family "Bacterial small subunit ribosomal RNA", at positions 28 to 507 of the family's 1533-position model. The record is from RNAcentral.
GAUGAACGCUGGCGGCGUGCCUAAUACAUGCAAGUCGAGCGAACAGACGAGGAGCUUGCUCCUCUGACGUUAGCGGCGGACGGGUGAGUAACACGUGGAUAACCUACCUAUAAGACUGGGAUAACUUCGGGAAACCGGAGCUAAUACCGGAUAAUAUAUUGAACCGCAUGGUUCAAUAGUGAAGGACGGUUUUGCUGUCACUUAUAGAUGGAUCCGCGCCGCAUUAGCUAGUUGGUAAGGUAACGGCUUACCAAGGCAACGAUGCGUAGCCGACCUGAGAGGGUGAUCGGCCACACUGGAACUGAGACACGGUCCAGACUCCUACGGGAGGCAGCAGUAGGGAAUCUUCCGCAAUGGGCGAAAGCCUGACGGAGCAACGCCGCGUGAGUGAUGAAGGUCUUCGGAUCGUAAAACUCUGUUAUUAGGGAAGAACAAAUGUGUAAGUAUCUAUGCACGUCUUGACGGUACCUAAUCAGAAAGCCACGGCUAACUACGUG